Molecule: non-coding RNA, 367 nt
Organism: Brochothrix campestris FSL F6-1037
Lineage: Bacteria; Bacillati; Bacillota; Bacilli; Caryophanales; Listeriaceae
Rfam family: transfer-messenger RNA
About the family: Bacterial tmRNA, also known as 10Sa RNA or SsrA, is named for its dual tRNA and mRNA-like properties.
Source: Rfam
GGGGACGUUACGGAUUCGACAGGCAUAGUUCGAGCUUGGAUGGCAUGUCAGAGGGAUCGUCUCUGUCAAAACGUCACAGCCAAUAAUAACUGGCAAAACUAACAACAACUUUGCAGUAGCUGCGUAAGUAGUUAACUAGCAAGAUCCUCCUUCCAUCGCCCAUGUGGUAAGAUCAGGGUCUCAAAUUAAGUGGGAUACGCUCGAUUGUUUCCGUCUGGAGCAUGACAGAAGAGAUUAAUCAGACUAGCCUUUAGAAAGCCUGUUUACCGGCUGCCUAUUUGGCGAAAUUCUAAUAGGUAGACUAAGCGUGUAGAAAUUCAAGUGCCGAUAUGUCUGGACGCGGGUUCGACUCCCGCCGUCUCCAUUU